RNAcentral lists this transfer RNA (84 nucleotides) under Bacteroidota bacterium. RNAcentral's name for it is "tRNA-Leu". It matches the Rfam family "tRNA". Rfam says of the family: Transfer RNA (tRNA) molecules are approximately 80 nucleotides in length. Their secondary structure includes four short double-helical elements and three loops (D, anti-codon, and T loops). RNAcentral also lists the same sequence under 4 other names. Lineage: Bacteria; Pseudomonadati; Bacteroidota. The record is from RNAcentral.
GCGCGGAUGGCGGAAUUGGUAGACGCGCUACUCUCAGGAGGUAGUGUCCGAAAGGACGUGUCAGUUCGACUCUGAUUUCGCGCA